UGCCAGCAGCCGCGGUAAUACGGAGGGUGCAAGCAUUAAUCGGAAUUAUUGGGCGUAAAGGGCGCGUAGGCGGAUAGAAAAGUCAGAUGUGAAAUUUCGGGGCUCAACCCCGAAGCUGCAUUUGAAACUCUCAAUCUUGAGGAUAGGCGGGGAAAACGGAAUUCCACGUGUAGCGGUGAAAUGCGUAGAUAUGUGGAAGAACACCCGUGGCGAAGGCGGUUUUCUAGCUUAUUCCUGACGCUGAGGCGCGAGAGCAAGGGGAGCAAACAGGAUUAGAUA
RNAcentral lists this ribosomal RNA (279 nucleotides) under uncultured bacterium. RNAcentral's name for it is "partial 16S ribosomal RNA". It matches the Rfam family "Bacterial small subunit ribosomal RNA", at positions 506 to 784 of the family's 1533-position model. The record is from RNAcentral.